Molecule: ribosomal RNA, 468 nt
Filed under: uncultured bacterium
Lineage: Bacteria
Description: partial 16S ribosomal RNA
Rfam family: Bacterial small subunit ribosomal RNA
Source: RNAcentral
GACGAACGCUGGCGGCGUGCUUAACACAUGCAAGUCGAACGGAAAGGCCCUGCUUUUGUGGGGUGCUCGAGUGGCGAACGGGUGAGUAACACGUGAGUAGCCUGCCCUUGACUUUGGGAUAACUUCAGGAAACUGGGGCUAAUACCGGAUAGGAGCUCCUGCUGCAUGGUGGGGGUUGGAAAGUUUCGGCGGUUGGGGAUGGACUCGCGGCUUAUCAGCUUGUUGGUGGGGUAGUGGCUUACCAAGGCUUUGACGGGUAGCCGGCCUGAGAGGGUGACCGGCCACAUUGGGACUGAGAUACGGCCCAGACUCCUACGGGAGGCAGCAGUGGGGAAUAUUGCACAAUGGGCAGAAGCCUGAUGCAGCAACGCCGCGUGCGGGAUGACGGCCUUCGGGUUGUAAACCGCUUUCGCCUGUGACGAAGCGUGAGUGACGGUAAUGGGUAAAGAAGCACCGGCUAACUACGUG